AGUAUCCUGAGUAGGGCGGGACACGAGGAAUCCUGUCUGAAUCCGGGUCGACCACGAUCCAACCCUAAAUACUAAUACCAGAUCGAUAGUGCACAAGUACCGUGAGGGAAAGGUGAAAAGAACUGAGGUGAUCAGAGUGAAAUAGAACCUGAAACCAUUUGCUUACAAUCAUUCAGAGCCCUAUGUAGCAAUACAGGGUGAUGGACUGCCUUUUGCAUAAUGAGCCUGCGAGUUGUGGUGUCUGGCAAGGUUAAGCAAACGCGAAGCCGUAGCGAAAGCGAGUCUGAAUAGGGCGCUUAGUCAGAUGCUGCAGACCCGAAACGAAGUGAUCUAUCCAUGAGCAAGUUGAAGCUAGUGUAAGAACUAGUGGAGGACUGAACCCAUAGGCGUUGAAAAGCCCCGGGAUGACUUGUGGAUAGGGGUGAAAGGCCAAUCAAACUUCGUGAUAGCUGGUUCUCUCCGAAAUAUAUUUAGGUAUAGCGUUGUGUCGUAAUAUAAGGGGGUAGAGCACUGAAUGGGCUAGGGCAUACACCAAUGUACCAAACCCUAUCAAACUCCGAAUACCUUAUAUGUAAUCACAGCAGUCAGGCGGCGAGUGAUAAAAUCCGUCGUCAAGAGGGAAACAACCCAGACUACCAGCUAAGGUCCCUAAAUCUUACUUAAGUGGAAAACGAUGUGAAGUUACUUAAACAACCAGGAGGUUGGCUUAGAAGCAGCCAUCCUUUAAAGAAAGCGUAAUAGCUCACUGGUCUAGUGAUUUUGCGCGGAAAAUAUAACGGGGCUAAAGU
Molecule: ribosomal RNA, 788 nt
Filed under: Campylobacter jejuni
Lineage: Bacteria; Pseudomonadati; Campylobacterota; Epsilonproteobacteria; Campylobacterales; Campylobacteraceae
Description: partial 23S ribosomal RNA
Rfam family: Bacterial large subunit ribosomal RNA
Source: RNAcentral